UACGGAGGGUGCAAGCGUUAAUCGGAAUUACUGGGCGUAAAGCGUGCGCAGGCGGUUUGUUAAGUCUGCUGUGAAAUCCCCGAGCUCAACUUGGGAAUUGCAGUGGAUACUGGCGGGCUGGAGUAUGGUAGAGGAAGGUGGAAUUCCCGGUGUAGCAGUGAAAUGCGUAGAGAUCGGGAGGAACACCAGUGGCGAAGGCGGCCUUCUGGACCAAUACUGACGCUCAUGCACGAAAGCGUGGGGAGCAAACAGG
RNAcentral lists this ribosomal RNA (253 nucleotides) under uncultured bacterium. Its description in RNAcentral is "partial 16S ribosomal RNA". It matches the Rfam family "Bacterial small subunit ribosomal RNA", at positions 524 to 776 of the family's 1533-position model. The record is from RNAcentral.